This 346-nucleotide unclassified non-coding RNA is filed under the name soil metagenome. RNAcentral describes it as "partial contains 5.8S ribosomal RNA, internal transcribed spacer 2, and large subunit ribosomal RNA". The stretch from base 1 to 119 matches the Rfam family "5.8S ribosomal RNA", at positions 35 to 154 of the family's 154-position model. The record is from RNAcentral.
GAUGAAGAACGUAGCGAAAUGCGAUAAGUAAUGUGAAUUGCAAAUUCAGUGAAUCAUCGAGUCUUUGAACGCACAUUGCGCCCCCUGGUAUUCCGGGGGGCAUGCCUGUCCGAGCGUCAUUGCUGCCCUCAAGCCCGGCUUGUGUGUUGGGCCCCGUCCCCCGAUCUCCGGGGGACGGGCCCGAAAGGCAGCGGCGGCACCGCGUCCGGUCCUCGAGCGUAUGGGGCUUUGUCACCCGCUCUGUAGGCCCGGCCGGCGCUUGCCGAUCAACCCAAAUUUUUAUCCAGGUUGACCUCGGAUCAGGUAGGGAUACCCGCUGAACUUAAGCAUAUCAAUAAGCGGAGGA